AGUAUACCGGAAGGUGUGCUUGGAAA
Molecule: ribosomal RNA, 26 nt
Filed under: Vitreorana uranoscopa (Humboldt's glass frog)
Lineage: Eukaryota; Metazoa; Chordata; Amphibia; Anura; Centrolenidae
Also listed under: 7 other names
Description: partial 12S ribosomal RNA
Source: RNAcentral